Talpa occidentalis (Iberian mole) is the source of this 197-nucleotide long non-coding RNA. RefSeq lists it as uncharacterized. Lineage: Eukaryota; Metazoa; Chordata; Mammalia; Eulipotyphla; Talpidae. The record is from RefSeq and is a predicted model, not a curated record. The transcript has 4 exons.
GCUUGCAUGGAUGGGAAGAGUGCUUGGCGGGAGGGUGUCUUCACAGAUAAGAAAACUGAAGGACAAAGUUCAAGGACCUUAGUCAAGUUGACGCAACUGGGUGACAUAAAGAAUUCUUAAACAAUCAUGUGGCUCUUUCAUGAAUAUAUGGAAUGUCCCAGCAACAGUUUUAAUUUUAAAAAUGGUAAAGUAGAGAG